RNAcentral lists this ribosomal RNA (894 nucleotides) under uncultured marine bacterium. RNAcentral describes it as "bacterial SSU rRNA". It matches the Rfam family "Bacterial small subunit ribosomal RNA", at positions 56 to 988 of the family's 1533-position model. The record is from RNAcentral.
UGCAGUCGAACGAGAACCAGCUUGCUGGGGGACAGUGGCGUAAGGGCGAGGAAUACAAUCGUACGUGCCCCGAGGUGGGGGAUAGCGUCGGGAAACUGGCGGUAAUACCCCAUGUGCUCUCCGGAGGAAAGGCUUGUCCGCCUUGGGAGCGGCGAUUGUCCUAUCAGGUUGUUGGUGAGGUAACGGCUCACCAAGCCGAAGACGGGUAGCGGGUGUGAGAGCAUGACCCGCCGCAUCGGGACUGAGACACUGCCCGGACUCCUACGGGAGGCUGCAGUAACGAAUAUUCCGCAAUGGGCGAAAGCCUGACGGAGCAAUGCCGCGUGUGGGAUGAAGCGCCUUCGGCGUGUAAACCACUGUCAGGGUCGAGGAACACUGACCAGACCCAGAGGAAGGACCGGCUAAUUCCGUGCCAGCAGCCGCGGUAAUACGGAAGGUCCGAGCGUUAAUCAGAAUUACUGGGCUUAAAGCGUGCGCAGGCGGAUCGUCAAGCGUCUUGUGAAAGCCCCCGGCUCAACCGGGGAAAUGCAGGGCGAACUGACGGUCUUGAGGCAGGUAGGGGUCGAUAGAACCAUCGGUGGAGCGGUGAAAUGCGUAGAUAUCGAUGGGAAUGCCGGUGGCGAAGGCGAUCGACUGGGCCUGUCCUGACGCUCAUGCACGAAAGCGUGGGCAGCGAACGGGAUUAGAUACCCCGGUAGUCCACGCCGUANACGAUGCGCACUAGAUCGCAGUGGCUCUCACGCCUUUGCGGUCGAAGUAAAAACGUUAAGUGCGCCGCCUGGGGAGUACGGUCGCAAGGCUAAAACUCAAAGGAAUUGACGGGGGCUCACACAAGCGGUGGAGCAUGUUGCUUAAUUCGAGGCAACGCGAAGAACCUUACCUGGGUUUGACAUG